This is a long non-coding RNA of Dufourea novaeangliae, 475 nucleotides long. RefSeq lists it as uncharacterized. The record is from RefSeq and is a predicted model, not a curated record. The transcript has 3 exons. NCBI's taxonomy places the organism in Eukaryota, Metazoa, Arthropoda, Insecta, Hymenoptera, Halictidae.
UUUCUAAUCCAUAUUCUUCUUUAACGAUCGGUUUGUUCACUGACACGAUUACCGACCAAGUAUAAAUAAGCUUGCGAAAUUUCAUUUCGAUACAGUCAAAACAUAGACAGAAACAUGAGAACUACAAGAAUCGUGCUUAACGUUGCGCUCACUUUGGCGAUCGCUACCAUUUCUCUUAUGUGCGCCACUGCUACAGCCGAACCUACUCCAGAUGCGGACCCUAUAAGUACAGCAGCUCUUAAAUCUCUCGCUGGAAAAUAAAUGGUGUGCGAGAUGAAUCCUACGAAUGCGAAGAGGCCGAAGCAAUGCAUCCGCCCUUUAUACCUCGAAUAGGGAAAUGAAUAUUUCCGAAAAUACAGUGAAGUAAUGCCUAUGCACUCUCGAUUCAGUAGAAUGCAGAAUGCUUCCAACGCGUAUGACAGCAAUUUAUUGAAAUAAAUGGUUUACUUUGAAAUUGAUUCGAUCCGAUUUUCUC